GGGUAGCGGAGAAAUUCCAAUCGAACCUGGAGAUAGCUGGUUCUCUCCGAAAUAGCUUUAGGGCUAGCCUCAAGUGAUGAUUAUUGGAGGUAGAGCACUGUUUGGACGAGGGGCCCCUCUCGGGUUACCGAAUUCAGACAAACUCCGAAUGCCAAUUAAUUUAACUUGGGAGUCAGAACAUGGGUGAUAAGGUCCGUGUUCGAAAGGGAAACAGCCCAGACCACCAGCUAAGGUCCCAAAAUAUAUGUUAAGUGGAAAAGGAUGUGGCGUUGCCCAGACAACUAGGAUGUUGGCUUAGAAGCAGCCAUCAUUUAAAGAGUGCGUAAUAGCUCACUAGUCGAGUGACACUGCGCCGAAAAUGUACCGGGGCUAAACAUAUUACCGAAGCUGUGGAUUGUCCUUUGGACAAUGGUAGGAGAGCGUUCUAAGGGCGUUGAAGCAUGAUCGUAAGGACAUGUGGAGCGCUUAGAAGUGAGAAUGCCGGUGUGAGUAGCGAAAGACGGGUGAGAAUCCCGUCCACCGAUUGACUAAGGUUUCCAGAGGAAGGCUCGUCCGCUCUGGGUUAGUCGGGUCCUAAGCUGAGGCCGACAGGCGUAGGCGAUGGAUAACAGGUUGAUAUUCCUGUACCACCUAUA
This 635-nucleotide ribosomal RNA is filed under the name Staphylococcus aureus. Its description in RNAcentral is "partial 23S ribosomal RNA". It matches the Rfam family "Bacterial large subunit ribosomal RNA", at positions 813 to 1452 of the family's 2925-position model. The record is from RNAcentral. Lineage: Bacteria; Bacillati; Bacillota; Bacilli; Caryophanales; Staphylococcaceae.